Molecule: long non-coding RNA, 316 nt
Filed under: Nicotiana benthamiana
Lineage: Eukaryota; Viridiplantae; Streptophyta; Magnoliopsida; Solanales; Solanaceae
Description: long non-coding RNA (NBEN_LNC031472)
Source: RNAcentral
AGAACCCCAACCCUAGAACGUGAAGUAUAGCUCCACAUAGACAUGGUAACAAAAUAACAAAUCAUACAAAGAAACGUAAAAAAUACUCAUUUUGGAAGAAGAGAAGAUGGAACUUGACGAAUUACGGCCUCCACGGCAGUUCUAUGGUUGUGUUUUCCUCUCCAAAGCGUCCUCCCUUCCCCAAAAUAGAUUUAGGACCCCUAUACAAAUUAGAAUCAUGUAGAUCCAAAAUAACCUUGCCACAGAUGAAUUAGAAAAACCCUCAUAAGGCGUAACAUAGCGUCUGCGCUGAACGCAGUAACAUUUUCACGUGUUU